Molecule: unclassified non-coding RNA, 345 nt
Filed under: soil metagenome
Description: partial contains 5.8S ribosomal RNA, internal transcribed spacer 2, and large subunit ribosomal RNA
Rfam family: 5.8S ribosomal RNA (bases 1-120)
Source: RNAcentral
GAUGAAGAACGUAGCGAAAUGCGAUAAGUAGUGUGAAUUGCAGAAUUCAGUGAAUCAUCGAAUCUUUGAACGCACAUUGCGCCCCCUGGUAUUCCGGGGGGCAUGCCUGUCCGAGCGUCAUUGCUGCCCUCAAGCACGGCUUGUGUGUUGGGCCUCCGUCCUCUUCCCGGGGGACGGGCCCGAAAGGCAGCGGCGGCACCGCGUCCGGUCCUCGAGCGUAUGGGGCUUCGUCACCCGCUCUUGUAGGCCCGGCCGGCGCUUGCCGACACAUCAAUCUUUUUUCCAGGUUGACCUCGGAUCAGGUAGGGAUACCCGCUGAACUUAAGCAUAUCAAUAAGCGGAGGA